This 428-nucleotide ribosomal RNA is filed under the name uncultured bacterium. Its description in RNAcentral is "bacterial SSU rRNA". It matches the Rfam family "Bacterial small subunit ribosomal RNA", at positions 490 to 916 of the family's 1533-position model. The record is from RNAcentral.
GCACCGGCUAACUACGUGCCAGCAGCCGCGGUAAUACGUAGGGUGCAAGCGUUGUCCGGAAUUACUGGGCGUAAAGAGUUCGUAGGCGGUUUGUCGCGUCGUUUGUGAAAACCAGCAGCUCAACUGCUGGCUUGCAGGCGAUACGGGCAGACUUGAGUACUGCAGGGGAGACUGGAAUUCCUGGUGUAGCGGUGAAAUGCGCAGAUAUCAGGAGGAACACCGGUGGCGAAGGCGGGUCUCUGGGCAGUAACUGACGCUGAGGAACGAAAGCGUGGGUAGCGAACAGGAUUAGAUACCCUGGUAGUCCACGCCGUAAACGGUGGGCGCUAGGUGUGGGUUCCUUCCACGGAAUCCGUGCCGUAGCUAACGCAUUAAGCGCCCCGCCUGGGGAGUACGGCCGCAAGGCUAAAACUCAAAUGAAUUGACGG